UACGUAGGGAGCAAGCGUUGUCCGGAAUCAUUGGGCGUAAAGCGCGCGUAGGUGGCCUCAUAAGUCCGCUGUGAAAGUCAAAGGCUCAACCUUUGAAAGCCGGUGGAUACUGUGGGACUAGAGUACGGAAGAGGCGAGUGGAAUUCCUGGUGUAGCGGUGGAAUGCGCAGAUAUCAGGAGGAACACCAAUAGCGAAGGCAGCUCGCUGGGACGUUACUGACACUGAGGCGCGAAAGCGUGGGGAGCGAACAGG
This 253-nucleotide ribosomal RNA is filed under the name uncultured bacterium. RNAcentral describes it as "partial 16S ribosomal RNA". It matches the Rfam family "Bacterial small subunit ribosomal RNA", at positions 524 to 776 of the family's 1533-position model. The record is from RNAcentral.